This 308-nucleotide ribosomal RNA is filed under the name uncultured Leptolinea sp. Its description in RNAcentral is "bacterial SSU rRNA". It matches the Rfam family "Bacterial small subunit ribosomal RNA", at positions 1060 to 1382 of the family's 1533-position model. The record is from RNAcentral. Lineage: Bacteria; Bacillati; Chloroflexota; Anaerolineae; Anaerolineales; Anaerolineaceae.
CCGUGUCGUGAGAUGUUCGGUUAAGUCCGCUAACGAGCGCAACCCUCGUCGUGUGUUAUACGUGUCACACGAUACUGCCGGUAUCAAGCCGGAGGAAGGUGGGGAUGAUGUCAAGUCAGCAUGGCCUUUAUAUCCUGGGCUACACACACGCUACAAUGGCAGAUACAAUAGGUUGCGAAACCGCGAGGUGGAGCCAAUCCUCAAAGUCUGUCUCAGUUCAGAUUGUAGGCUGCAACUCGCCUGCAUGAAGUUGGAGUUGCUAGUAAACGCAGGUCAGCUAUACUGCGUUGAAUACGUUCCCGGGGUUU